UGGCGCUCGCUGCGCUGGUGAGGUCUCGAGGUUGCGCCUUGCCGCUACACCGCCCGCUCCGCCACCGGCGCCGGGGCUACCAAGAGCAGGCUGUGCCGCCGUCACCCGCGGCUAAGCCCGUUAGGCCGCGCCGCAGCCCACCGCCGCGAAACCCCCUUGCCCCUGGUGCCGGCCGACCCCGACCCCCGCGACCUCAGCGCCACCUCGGGGUGCCGCACGGGGAAGAAGGAGUGCGCGGGGCGGCUGGGCGGAUGGAGCGAGCGGACGCCGCCGCGGGUGUGGGAGAAGGAGUGGCUCCCACCCGCGCACAAACGAUGCCCCGACUUGCUGAAACCCGUCGAGCCCUAUCCGAGGAGCUACGGAGUAUGAGACCUGGGACAACUUCAGAGACCUAAAGUCCUCCUUUAACAUGUUUAAAGUCGACCGUUGGUAGUAAGAACACGUCAUUGUCGCAUACCACUCGAGAAGCAAACCCCGUUUUUAAGCUCACCGGUCGAACCGGAACCGUUUUCACGUCCUUUUCAUCAGAGAUGGGGUUCUUUCCAACUGAUGAACCGACUACAAUCUCACUUUUACUGACGAAACCCUAGUCUCGUGAGUUAACAACAAUGUCUCCUACCACUUCGGAACUCAACCCCUCGACGACCACGACCAUCUGAACCUGUACCGGUAUUUAGAUCGAAGGACCCUAAGUGAUACUGGAGUUUACUUAUAUGAGGUUCCAACUAUUUUUUGGAACUACCAUAGUUCUAAUUUUCCUAUCGACGCCCUUACGACGUGAGUCGAACGUAACUACUUUUUCCAUGACACAAGUACAAACCCGUCUUCUGACUCUUCCAUGAACCUUCUAGUUUACUACGUGGAUCUGGUUCACAACAACUUCUCUAUGUUAAAAGUCUUCUUCAACGAACACCUCCAAUAGUAUGAACGCGACAUUGUCUAGCACCUCUAAACAUAAGAACCCCAAGUUUACUUUUACCGACGGAACCAGAACCUCCAUGUCCGUACCAAGCGAAGGGUCUUCAACAUUCUUCAAGUAAUAAAUUCGAAGGACAUAGAUUCCAUAGGACACCAACCUUCGUGUGUCGACAUUAAAGUCCACUUCUAUAGAUGUGCACCCCGACCCCUCCACGCUUGCCAUGGAAGAAGCUUCUCCCGGUAAGAAGACCGCCCGUUAAUCCCGUACCUUUGCUGCAGCUGAUAACGCUCGGCUACUACCAUCUUGAACCGUUCUUACGUUCUCGACAAGUACAUAGUACACCGAAGUUAGUAUGUCCGCGCUAUGAGCUCAUGCGCCUUUUGACUGACGACACGGUAGACGUCGUGAAUGUCACGUUGGUCCGUACAAACCAUGAUGAGUCAGUAUGGACGUGUUUCUUUUUCUUAUUCGACUGGAGCUUGCUCACUACUUGAGCAUUUUGUCUUAAUGUCAAUGUUUGAACGUUACAUGUACCUAGCAGGUAACAAUAAAAAUGUACCGCGAGUUGAUAGAGAGAAACCACAACGCUAAGGCAAACUGUUGAUAAAAGCCACCUACAGCACGAAAAAUGCGCAGUCUUAAACUUCCCGAACCCCGUACCAGUUUAAUUACAAUUUUGUAUACGUUUCUAACUCAAUUAUACGAUGAAUACCAGAAACGGAACAAGAAACACGUAUCCUUACAUUUUUUUUUUCUUAUAAACUCACCUAACAUUUUAAGGAAACAAAAAUGGAUACUUUGAGUUAGAUUUCCUCUUUUUAUG
This 1742-nucleotide ribosomal RNA is filed under the name Triticum aestivum (bread wheat). RNAcentral's name for it is "partial small subunit ribosomal RNA". The record is from RNAcentral. Lineage: Eukaryota; Viridiplantae; Streptophyta; Magnoliopsida; Poales; Poaceae.